GCCUACGGGGCGCAGCAGUAGGGAAUCUUCCACAAUGGGCGAAAGCCUGAUGGAGCAACGCCGCGUGGGUGAGGAAGGUCUUCGGAUCGUAAAACCCUGUUGUUAGAGAAGAAAGUGCGUGAGAGUAACUGUUCACGUUUCGACGGUAUCUAACCAGAAAGCCACGGCUAACUACGUGCCAGCAGCCGCGGUAAUACGUAGGUGGCAAGCGUUAUCCGGAUUUAUUGGGCGUAAAGAGAACGCAGGCGGUCUUUUAAGUCUGAUGUGAAAGCCUUCGGCUUAACCGGAGUAGUGCAUUGGAAACU
Molecule: ribosomal RNA, 305 nt
Filed under: uncultured bacterium
Lineage: Bacteria
Description: bacterial SSU rRNA
Rfam family: Bacterial small subunit ribosomal RNA
Source: RNAcentral